Molecule: ribosomal RNA, 699 nt
Filed under: Machilis sp. B TD-2014
Lineage: Eukaryota; Metazoa; Arthropoda; Insecta; Archaeognatha; Machilidae
Description: eukaryotic LSU rRNA
Rfam family: Eukaryotic large subunit ribosomal RNA (bases 569-699)
Source: RNAcentral
CAUUGCGGCUCGGGAUCCUGAUCUCGGGCCACACCUGACUGAGGGUCGGUGAUAUCAUACAAUAUGUUUUGGGCGACGUCCGACAGAUUUUUGUCGAACGCGCACUUAAAUUCAAAUUUUUAAAGACUCGGAGGAGGCCGCCUUUCUCCUCUCUCGAAGAGAGAGAGAGAGAGAGGAGACUCGAACGGUCGUCGUGAGUACUUGUCUUUGUGUUUCGAUUGGUACGAGAGUGAAGCUCGCGGUGGGGGGGUGCAAGUCGGUGGAGUAGGCGUCCAACCUCAUCCUCUUCUCGAGAGAAGAGGAGGGUUGGCGUGAAAGACCGGCUACAUUGUUUCUUUGCACCUCGCGGAGUGCCCGACUCUGCACAGUCACUCGUCGGUGGAGUAAACGUCCAACCUCAUCCUCUCCUCGAGAGAGAGAAGAGGAGGGUUGGCGCGAAAGAUCGACUCUGUGAGAGACUGUGUGUUGCGGCGUACGCACGCCAAUCGAACAAGACUCUCGCGAAAGCGCUCGACACGUUCCCGUCGUUUCGGACCGACUUCCGUAGAAAAAUAUGUCAUAUUGAUCGCGACCUCAGAUCAGGUGAGACUACCCGCUAAAUUUAAGCAUAUUAAUAAGCGGAGGAAAAGAAACUAACAAGGAUUCCCUGAGUAGCGGCGAGCGAAAAGGGAAAAGCCCAGCACCGAAUCUCGCACCGUG